UGGUUCUGGCAUCGAUGAAGAACGCAGCGAAAUGCGAUAAGUAAUGUGAAUUGCAGAAUUCAGUGAAUCAUCGAAUCUUUGAACGCACAUUGCGCCCCUUGGUAUUCCGGGGGGCAUGCCUGUUCGAGCGUCAUUAUAACCCCUCAAGCUCAGCUUGGUGUUGGGGCCUGCCGUUUGGCAGCCCUUAAAAUCAGUGGCGGUGCCAUCUGGCUCUAAGCGUAGUAAUUCUUCUCGCUAUGGAGACCUGGUGGAUGCUUGCCAUCAACCCCCAAUUUUCUAUGGUUGACCUCGGAUCAGGUAGGGAUACCCGCUGA
RNAcentral lists this unclassified non-coding RNA (314 nucleotides) under uncultured fungus. Its description in RNAcentral is "partial contains 5.8S ribosomal RNA and internal transcribed spacer 2". The stretch from base 1 to 133 matches the Rfam family "5.8S ribosomal RNA", at positions 22 to 154 of the family's 154-position model. The record is from RNAcentral. Lineage: Eukaryota; Fungi.